RNAcentral lists this transfer RNA (73 nucleotides) under Bos taurus (domestic cattle). It matches the Rfam family "tRNA". From Rfam's summary of the family: Transfer RNA (tRNA) molecules are approximately 80 nucleotides in length. Their secondary structure includes four short double-helical elements and three loops (D, anti-codon, and T loops). Further hydrogen bonds mediate the characteristic L-shaped molecular structure. tRNAs have two regions of fundamental functional importance: the anti-codon, which is responsible for specific mRNA codon recognition, and the 3' end, to which the tRNAs corresponding amino acid is attached (by aminoacyl-tRNA synthetases). tRNAs cope with the degeneracy of the genetic code in two manners: having more than one tRNA (with a specific anti-codon) for a particular amino acid; and 'wobble' base-pairing, i.e. permitting non-standard base-pairing at the 3rd anti-codon position. Lineage: Eukaryota; Metazoa; Chordata; Mammalia; Artiodactyla; Bovidae. The record is from Rfam by way of RNAcentral. RNAcentral also lists the same sequence under 4 other names.
UCCCUGAUGGUCCAGUGGGUAGGAUUUGGCGCUCCAAAUGCAGGGGGCCCAGGUUCAAUCCCUAGUUGGGGAA